AUGAAAGCGAAUAAAGUUUGCGGGUUUGGUAAUGCUUUUCUUAAAGUCAAGUUCUUAAGUGGUGUCUGUCACAGAAAAGAGCCUCUCUCGCUCGCCCCUUCGGAAAGCCUUGGUGCAACCUCACCUCUCAACAACCCGGGGUUCCUUCACAGCACAAACCCCGGCACGGGCUGCCCAAAUCGCCACCUCCGGACACCCGUCCCGCCGGAGACGGGGACGCACAAGCCUCAACUGAAGGCGGGUUUCACGGCGGGGUACAGGGAAAUCAGCCCAAUUCCGCCGCCCCCCAUAAUGGCACCAGCAGGCGCGGGGUGCAUUCGGCCAGCGGCCCAGGCAAGCAGCACAGGAACCCGGCUGGCCCCGCUGCAGCGAAUGGCGGGGGCGAGAGACUGCCCUGGACCCCCUCCUGUCACGGCGGGGGCUGGGCAGCGCCUCGCCGCCCCGGGCCCGGCACUCCUUCCCGCCCGCCCGCCUCGCAGGCCGCGCCGCGGCCCCGGUGCGUCCGCAGGGCCUGGCACCGCCGCGGGCUCGGGGAGCCCAGCAAACAAAGGGAGCGGAGGCCGGGGCCGCGGCUCGGGAAGAGGGCGGCGGGCAAGUAGCGAACAGGACCGGCCCCAUCCACCGGUUCCGCCUGCACCGCACCAGCCCUCCGCGGCCAGCGGUGAAGGGAGAGGGGAGCCGGGCCGCAGUGCGCCCGCUGCCCCGGGGACGCUCACCCAGCGGAGGCCGCGGUGUCCCGCUCCCGGCGCGGGCCUCUUCCCGGGCACCUCAGCGCUGCGGCCCGGCCUGCGCCGGCGCCCGGGCUCGGCGGGGAGCAACCUCCGGGGGUGGCGGAGCGGCACUCACCGAGGAGGAGGAGAAGGAGGAGCUGGCUCUGCUGUUGCUUUCGCGGGGCCCGGCCCGGCUUCGGCUCUGGCUCCCUCCCUCGCCGAGCCGCCGCCUCCCUGUUCCUGGCGCCGCCGCCGCCGCCGAUUCCUCCGCCUCCUCUGCCCCCACCCCUCCGUCCUCGGAGGGGCGCACGGGGGCGGCGAGCUCGCGAUGGCCGCCUCCUGCAGCAGGCACGGCUACGGCUGCGGCGCCCGCACACAGCCCGGCGGCGGCAGGAGGGCCGCGGGCAUCCCCGCUCCGUCCUCCGUCUGCCCGGCCGCCCCCGCCGCCCGGCGGACUCUACCAGCCCUCUGCGGCCCGUCUGCCCCGCAGCAGCCGGGCCCCCUCCCUUACUCGGGUCUGGGCGCCUCGCCCCGGGCCCGUUCCCUCUUGGCGGCCGCGGGAAACCCGCGGGGGGCGGCCGGGAGCCGCGCUGGAACGGAGGCAGGAAGGCGGUGUGGCUUUGUUAGCCCUGGCCCUUUGCUCGCUUCCCCGCGAUCUCCGGUGUGUGACCGCCCCGCUGGGCUACAGGAGCUCAUCGGCGAAGUUCAGGGGGAGCUACCUCCCGUCCUCGUUCCGGCGGGGGCAGCCCCUCCCUGGUAG
RNAcentral lists this long non-coding RNA (1470 nucleotides) under Parus major (Great Tit). RNAcentral describes it as "lncRNA (ENSPMJG00000014335.1)". The record is from RNAcentral. Lineage: Eukaryota; Metazoa; Chordata; Aves; Passeriformes; Paridae.